GGGCUAUUAGCUCAGUUGGUUAGAGCGUACGCUUGAUAAGCGUAAGGUCACAGGUUCAAGUCCCGUAUGGCCCA
This 74-nucleotide transfer RNA is filed under the name Mychonastes homosphaera. RNAcentral describes it as "tRNA-Ile". It matches the Rfam family "tRNA". Rfam says of the family: Transfer RNA (tRNA) molecules are approximately 80 nucleotides in length. Their secondary structure includes four short double-helical elements and three loops (D, anti-codon, and T loops). Lineage: Eukaryota; Viridiplantae; Chlorophyta; Chlorophyceae; Sphaeropleales; Mychonastaceae. The record is from RNAcentral. RNAcentral also lists the same sequence under 1 other name.